AGUGRCAGUUCCAAGGAGUUGCUGUAGACUUUUCCGGUCAGAGAUGAUAWAACUGGAAAAUGUUUUCAUGAAAACACAAAACUUCAGAUGUGUAUCUCAAGGARGAGACCUCAUUUCUGUUUUUCCAUAUUUUUUUCUGCGAAGUUAACAUUUUUUGUUGAGAAUAAUUCUCAAAUGUCGUUUGAAACAUUUUGCUUACAAGCACAUGCUUUUUUUUUCCAGCUGGCUUUUCUCUAAGUGACGCUGAUGUUGCUGAUAAUUUUUGAAAUGCAGAGGGAGAAGGGACAUUUUGCACAAAGUGUCAUUCUGGGAAAGGCUAUUUUUCACUGCACAAAACAUUUUGUCAUGUAAACUAUUUAAAACAGCUCAAUGUCAGGAUACCCUCUAACUUCCCCAGAAACUAUCUGGGCCUCCACUGAGCUUCUCCAACUGUCCUGAAGGCCAUCAGAACGUUUUGCCUGACAACGUUUCCUAGCAGGUUGGUCCUUCCACCCGRUGAAGGACCCAUACUGUCGACAAAACUGUCUGUCAGCCUCCCCUGGGGGCAAGACCCCAUGGCUUGUGGGUYGCUAAUCUGUCUUCCACUCACUUCGUCCUCUGCCUCCUUCUCCCCAUAAAUCUCAAGGACUCGAGGCACUCUUGACGACUGGUCUGGAAGCUAAUGAGGAGUGCACUUGACCUUUGCUGACGCCGCAAUUAGAGAUUACCGGUGAAUGCUGGGGAAGCAGAGAAAGCUCUUUUUGGCUUCCUCUKCCCGGCGUGUUUGAAAAGCUUUCUUCCUGAUCUCUCACGGUGGAAAUGAGAGAAGGGCAGGCUCUACACCCUCCUGACCUCCUCCUCUCGCAAGGCAGCACGUGCUCUAAGAGUGGUCUGCCCGCCUUGCAGAUCGUGCCAGCAGAAGGAGCUCCUAGGUGUUUUGUGGCAGGAUUUGGCUGCUCAAAGGGCCUGGAUCGCCGCCUGGUCCCCCUGGAUGUACGGCACUUGGUUGAACGCCUCUCCACCAGCAGCCAAGGACUGGAUUUUGAAGCGCUGCUGCUUUCUGAAGGAUACUUGCGGGGUCAGCUGGAAGGACACUAAGAGCAAUGSCAGACACCCAAAUUGCUUUUCACACUGAUUUUCCAACAGCCCAAAUAGUCCGUGAAACAGGACACCUGCUUCCYGCCCAGCUCUAUCUAGGAGCAUGCUUUAGCACAACUGUUCCACCUUUGGGCCUGAGUUCUCACCUUCCUCUUUUUAUUCCUUGAAAGGCUUAACAAUUAACCAACUAAUUUGAUCUGUAUUGUGCUAGAUCCAGAAAACACCCUGACAAAAUCCAUGAGCAUCUUGAGCAUCUUCAGGCAUUUGAACUGAAUAUUCACCCACRUAAUAGCUGAGAUAGGCCACCAGUAAGCAUAUGGAAGAACAUGGAAGAAUUCAUUCAUUGUAGGACAUCUCAAGCAGCCAGAAUACUUUAUCCACAUGUAUAUCUCUUCACAAAUGGUCCUGGU
RNAcentral lists this long non-coding RNA (1487 nucleotides) under Dromaius novaehollandiae (emu). RNAcentral describes it as "lncRNA (ENSDNVG00000009598.1)". The record is from RNAcentral. Lineage: Eukaryota; Metazoa; Chordata; Aves; Casuariiformes; Dromaiidae.